AUGGCUCAGAUUGAACGCUGGCGGCAGGCCUAACACAUGCAAGUCGAACGGUAGCACAGAGGAGCUUGCUCCUUGGGUGACGAGUGGCGGACGGGUGAGUAAUGUCUGGGGAUCUGCCCGAUGGAGGGGGAUAACUACUGGAAACGGUAGCUAAUACCGCAUAACGUCGCAAGACCAAAGUGGGGGACCUUCGGGCCUCACACCAUCGGAUGAACCCAGAUGGGAUUAGCUAGUAGGUGGGGUAACGGCUCACCUAGGCGACGAUCCCUAGCUGGUCUGAGAGGAUGACCAGCCACACUGGAACUGAGACACGGUCCAGACUCCUACGGGAGGCAGCAGUGGGGAAUAUUGCACAAUGGGCGCAAGCCUGAUGCAGCCAUGCCGCGUGUAUGAAGAAGGCCUUCGGGUUGUAAAGUACUUUCAGCGGGGAGGAAGGUGGUGAGGUUAAUAACCUCAUCAAUUGACGUUACCCGCAGAAGAAGCACCGGCUAACUCCGUGCCAGCAGCCGCGGUAAUACGGAGGGUGCAAGCGUUAAUCGGAAUUACUGGGCGUAAAGCGCACGCAGGCGGUCUGUCAAGUCGGAUGUGAAAUCCCCGGGCUUAACCUGGGAACUGCAUUCGAAACUGGCAGGCUCGAGUCUCGUAGAGGGGGGUAGAAUUCCAGGUGUAGCGGUGAAAUGCGUAGAGAUCUGGAGGAAUACCGGUGGCGAAGGCGGCCCCCUGGACGAAGACUGACGCUCAGGUGCGAAAGCGUGGGGAGCAAACAGGAUUAGAUACCCUGGUAGUCCACGCCGUAAACGAUGUCGACUUGGAGGUUGUGCCCUUGAGGCGUGGCUUCCGGAGCUAACGCGUUAAGUCGACCGCCUGGGGAGUACGGCCGCAAGGUUAAAACUCAAAUGAAUUGACGGGGGCCCGCACAAGCGGUGGAGCAUGUGGUUUAAUUCGAUGCAACGCGAAGAACCUUACCUGGCCUUGACAUCCAGAGAACUUAGCAGAGAUGCUUUGGUGCCUUCGGGAACUCUGAGACAGGUGCUGCAUGGCUGUCGUCAGCUCGUGUUGUGAAAUGUUGGGUUAAGUCCCGCAACGAGCGCAACCCUUAUCCUUUGUUGCCAGCGAUUCGGUCGGGAACUCAAAGGAGACUGCCGGUGAUAAACCGGAGGAAGGUGGGGAUGACGUCAAGUCAUCAUGGCCCUUACGGCCAGGGCUACACACGUGCUACAAUGGCGCAUACAAAGAGAAGCGACCUCGCGAGAGCAAGCGGACCUCAUAAAGUGCGUCGUAGUCCGGAUUGGAGUCUGCAACUCGACUCCAUGAAGUCGGAAUCGCUAGUAAUCGUAGAUCAGAAUGCUACGGUGAAUACGUUCCCGGGCCUUGUACACACCGCCCGUCACACCAUGGGAGUGGGUUGCAAAAGAAGUAGGUAGCUUAACCUUCGGGAGGGCGCUUACCACUUUGUGAUUCAUGACUGGGGUGAAGUCUA
This 1480-nucleotide ribosomal RNA is filed under the name Pantoea sp. Its description in RNAcentral is "bacterial SSU rRNA". It matches the Rfam family "Bacterial small subunit ribosomal RNA". Lineage: Bacteria; Pseudomonadati; Pseudomonadota; Gammaproteobacteria; Enterobacterales; Erwiniaceae. The record is from RNAcentral.